GCACUUAUGGUGGAAUUGGUAGACACGCAAGCUUGAGGGGUUUGUGUCCAUUAGGACAUGCAGGUUCGACUCCUGUUAAGUGCA
This 84-nucleotide transfer RNA is filed under the name Flavobacteriaceae bacterium. RNAcentral describes it as "tRNA-Leu". It matches the Rfam family "tRNA". From Rfam's summary of the family: Transfer RNA (tRNA) molecules are approximately 80 nucleotides in length. Their secondary structure includes four short double-helical elements and three loops (D, anti-codon, and T loops). Further hydrogen bonds mediate the characteristic L-shaped molecular structure. tRNAs have two regions of fundamental functional importance: the anti-codon, which is responsible for specific mRNA codon recognition, and the 3' end, to which the tRNAs corresponding amino acid is attached (by aminoacyl-tRNA synthetases). tRNAs cope with the degeneracy of the genetic code in two manners: having more than one tRNA (with a specific anti-codon) for a particular amino acid; and 'wobble' base-pairing, i.e. permitting non-standard base-pairing at the 3rd anti-codon position. Lineage: Bacteria; Pseudomonadati; Bacteroidota; Flavobacteriia; Flavobacteriales; Flavobacteriaceae. The record is from RNAcentral.